Molecule: ribosomal RNA, 497 nt
Filed under: uncultured bacterium
Lineage: Bacteria
Description: partial 16S ribosomal RNA
Rfam family: Bacterial small subunit ribosomal RNA
Source: RNAcentral
GAUGAACGCUGGCGGCGUGCCUAAUACAUGCAAGUCGAGCGAACAGAUGAGGAGCUUGCUCCUCUGACGUUAGCGGCGGACGGGUGAGUAACACGUGGAUAACCUACCUAUAAGACUGGGAUAACUUCGGGAAACCGGAGCUAAUACCGGAUAAUAUUUUGAACCGCAUGGUUCAAUAGUGAAAGACGGUUUUGCUGUCACUUAUAGAUGGAUCCGCGCCGCAUUAGCUAGUUGGUAAGGUAACGGCUUACCAAGGCAACGAUGCGUAGCCGACCUGAGAGGGUGAUCGGCCACACUGGAACUGAGACACGGUCCAGACUCCUACGGGAGGCAGCAGUAGGGAAUCUUCCGCAAUGGGCGAAAGCUUGACGGAGCAACGCCGCGUGAGUGAUGAAGGUCUUCGGAUCGUAAAACUCUGUUAUUAGGGAAGAACAAAUGUGUAAGUAACUGUGCACGUCUUGACGGUACCUAAUCAGAAAGCCACGGCUAACUACGUG